ACUGAACGCUGGCGGCAUGCCUUACACAUGCAAGUCGAACGGCAGCGCGGACUUCGGUCUGGCGGCGAGUGGCGAACGGGUGAGUAAUACAUCGGAACGUACCCUGUUGUGGGGGAUAACUAGUCGAAAGAUUAGCUAAUACCGCAUACGACCUGAGGGUGAAAGUGGGGGACCGCAAGGCCUCACGCAGCAGGAGCGGCCGAUGUCUGAUUAGCUAGUUGGUGGGGUAAAGGCCCACCAAGGCGACGAUCAGUAGCUGGUCUGAGGGGACGGUCAGCCACACUGGGACUGAGGCACGGCCCGGACUCCUACGGGAGGCAGCAGUGGGGAAUUUUGGACAAUGGGGGCAACCCUGAUCCAGCAAUGCCGCGUGUGUGAAGAAGGCCUUCGGGUUGUAAAGCACUUUUGUCCGGAAAGAAAUCGCGCUGGUUAAUACCUGGCGUGGAUGACGGUACCGGAAGAAUAAGCACCGGCUAACUACGUGCCAGCAGCCGCCGUAA
This 500-nucleotide ribosomal RNA is filed under the name uncultured bacterium. Its description in RNAcentral is "partial 16S ribosomal RNA". It matches the Rfam family "Bacterial small subunit ribosomal RNA", at positions 30 to 523 of the family's 1533-position model. The record is from RNAcentral.